GGUUAAGUUAGAAAGGGCGCACGGUGGAUGCCUUGGCACUAGGAGCCGAAGAAGGACGGGACUAACACCGAUAUGCUUUGGGGAGCUGUACGUAAGCGUUGAUCCAGAGAUUUCCGAAUGGGGGAACCCACUAUCUUUAGUCGGAUAGUAUCCUUACGUGAAUACAUAGCGUGAGGAAGGCAGACCCAGGGAACUGAAACAUCUAAGUACCUGGAGGAAGAGAAAGAAAAAUCGAUUUCCUGAGUAGCGGCGAGCGAAACGGAAAGAGCCCAAACCAAGAAGCUUGCUUCUUGGGGUUGUAGGACACUCUAUACGGAGUUACAAAAGAAAGUUAUAAAUGAAGCGGUCUGGAAAGGCCCGCCAAAGACGGUAACAGCCCGGUAGUUGAAAUGGCUUUCCCUCCAGAGUGGAUCCUGAGUACGGCGGAACACGUGAAAUUCCGUCGGAAUCCGGGAGGACCAUCUCCCAAGGCUAAAUACUCCCUAGUGACCGAUAGUGAACCAGUACCGUGAGGGAAAGGUGAAAAGCACCCCGGAAGGGGAGUGAAACAGUUCCUGAAACCGUGUGCCUACAAGUAGUUAGAGCCCGUUAAUGGGUGAUAGCGUGCCUUUUGUAGAAUGAACCGGCGAGUUACGAUUUGUUGCAAGGUUAAGCGGAAAAAGCGGAGCCGUAGCGAAAGCGAGUCUGAAUAGGGCGCAUAAGUAACAGGUCGUAGACCCGAAACCAGGUGAUCUACCCAUGUCCAGGAUGAAGGUAAGGUAAUACUUACUGGAGGUCCGAACCCACGCACGUUGAAAAGUGCGGGGAUGAGGUGUGGGUAGCGGAGAAAUUCCAAUCGAACUUGGAGAUAGCUGGUUCUCUCCGAAAUAGCUUUAGGGCUAGCCUCGAGGUAAAGAGUCAUGGAGGUAGAGCACUGUUUGGACUAGGGGCCCUUCUCGGGUUACCGAAUUCAGAUAAACUCCGAAUGCCAUGUACUUAUACUCGGGAGUCAGACUGCGAGUGAUAAGAUCCGUAGUCGAAAGGGAAACAGCC
RNAcentral lists this ribosomal RNA (1032 nucleotides) under Listeria monocytogenes. RNAcentral describes it as "partial 23S ribosomal RNA". It matches the Rfam family "Bacterial large subunit ribosomal RNA", at positions 1 to 1027 of the family's 2925-position model. Lineage: Bacteria; Bacillati; Bacillota; Bacilli; Caryophanales; Listeriaceae. The record is from RNAcentral.